CAAUGAGUGUUUUAUGGCACUCUUUAAAAAUCCAUAUCCACCUUGUGUGCAAUGUUUGUUGGGAGAGAGGCAACUCUUUCCCUUCACAAAUAUCAACCUAUAUCUUUAACCAGUUUGUCUGAAGCAAUGUAUCAUGAGUUAACAUAAUUCUAAAAUA
RNAcentral lists this unclassified non-coding RNA (157 nucleotides) under uncultured Mortierella. RNAcentral describes it as "sequence contains ITS1". Lineage: Eukaryota; Fungi; Mortierellomycota; Mortierellomycetes; Mortierellales; Mortierellaceae. The record is from RNAcentral.